UACGAAGGUGUCGAACGUUGACCGGAAUAACUGGGCGUAAAGGGCGCGUAGGCGGUCGGGUAAGUGGGAUGUGAAAGCUCUGGGCUCAACCCAGGAAUUGCAUUCCAUACUGCUCGACUUGAGUUCGGUAGAGGAGGGCGGAAUUCCAGGUGUAGCGGUGAAAUGCGUAGAUAUCUGGAGGAACACCCGUGGCGAAGGCGGCUCUCUGGUCCGAUACUGACGCUGAGGCGCGAAAGCUAGGGUAGCAAAC
This 250-nucleotide ribosomal RNA is filed under the name uncultured bacterium. RNAcentral describes it as "partial 16S ribosomal RNA". It matches the Rfam family "Bacterial small subunit ribosomal RNA", at positions 524 to 773 of the family's 1533-position model. The record is from RNAcentral.